This is a non-coding RNA of Salmo salar (Atlantic salmon), 54 nucleotides long. The record is from Rfam. NCBI's taxonomy places the organism in Eukaryota, Metazoa, Chordata, Actinopteri, Salmoniformes, Salmonidae.
UCAAUGACUCUAUCUAAGUCGCUCUGGAUAAGAGCGUCUGCUAAAUGACUUAAA